ACGGUCCUUCUUAGAAGCAUCUAAUGCUCGAGUUGAUUUUGAAUUAUCUCUACUCUUUUAAGAGACUUAGUGAUUAUGGUUUUUGUUUUGAAAACACAAAAUAUCAAUGAAGAAUUUAAGUGUGUAGUGUACGGAAGGACAAGUGUUUAAUAUCAACCAUCGAAUUUAAGAGUAAAAUGGCUGAUUAAAUAUAUCGGCCGUGUGUGAAGCUAAGUUCAUAGUAAGUUCCUACAAAAAUAUAAGUGAACGACCCGAUAAACGCAGUGUACAGUCCAUAUUGCGCGGGAAGGCCUGCUAAACCCGCGUAAGCUAUAGAUUGAGGCAUCAUUGUUAAUCCAACAGUUAAACCAGCUAUUAGGUCAGCUAAAAUGUCAUCUCUACUAUAUUUAGGUAACCAUCGAAGAAUAAAUAGUCGACUGUACAACUGCCGUUUGAUUUUUUCCAUUAAAGACGAUUUUGUUUUUGUAUUUUUACCCACUAAAAUAAUAUCAUUAAUAAUGGGAUCAAAAUAGGAAAAUUAAUCACAUUCUAACUAUAUGAGAGUUUCAAUAAGUGCACUGAACAAAAAUUUAAGAAAUUAUUGCUACAAACCUAAUGUUUAUUGUGAUUAUUUUUCCAAAAAUUCCAAUAAAUUCUAAUUACUUACUUUUCACAUAAAUCGUCUCUUCUCUAUUAAAUGAGCACCGCAGAAAUAACGUAUACUUUCAUUUUACAUAUAUCUUUUCAUUUUUAAGUAAACAUUGAAAUAAUUCUGACAAACAUUACUCUUUAAUCCCUUAGUUAAUAAACUUUAUGCCAAAAUUUGUUUAAUGUACAAUGGCGUUUUAUAAUACAGUGUCGAAUGUAUAAAUAUGAUUUAAUUUUUUAUUAUCAACACACUGUCAUUAAAAAUACACACGAUAAGUUUCCGAUUUAUGAUAUUUAACACAAAAUUAUAUUAUUAUCAUUUAUACAUAUGGGCUUUUCUAAAACUAUCCAUUGAUUCUAGAAAAUGUGCAGAAUAACCUAUUUUGACUAAAUCACAAAUGAUAUGUUUGGGGAAUUUAAAGAUUAAUCUAGGAAUAAUUAGUAUUGCUAUAAAGAUAGUUAUAAUUAUGUACAUCAACAAAUUAAUUUAAUUAGUUAAAUCUCCCAACAGUGUAACUAACCUAUACUUCCUUUCAAAAUAUUUGACUGGAAUAUUUGUAAGUAAUUGAAUUCUAGCUAUUUGAAAAUUGGAAAUAAAAAACCUUAUUAUAGUUAUAA
Diorhabda sublineata is the source of this 1245-nucleotide long non-coding RNA. RefSeq lists it as uncharacterized. Lineage: Eukaryota; Metazoa; Arthropoda; Insecta; Coleoptera; Chrysomelidae. The transcript has 2 exons. The record is from RefSeq and is a predicted model, not a curated record.